UAAAAGCGGGCUGGGUGCCGCGGCGGAGCGCCGGGCGGCGAGCGGGGCCGGGAGGCGGAGAGCCACCGCCUCAGCCUGUGUGGCGAAGGGGAGGGAGCCUCGGGUCGCCCUCCCGGCCUCUCCCGGUGGGGCGGCCCGGUGGCGGCCGGCUCCGAGCCCCGAGGGGAAACCUCCCGGGUCGGGACCCCGCGGUAAGAGGGCUCCGGGGCCGGUGGAGCGGACCCGGGGGCGGCGGGGAGCACCAGGGGUGCCGGCGGCUGAGCCCAGCCGGGCCGCGGCCCCCGAGAAGCACCGCGGAGAGAUUCAUGAGGAGAAGAACACUUAAAAAAGACUCGCUGAAGACUUUUUGGUUCCUUGCACAGCCCACCACUUGAAGGAGAAGGAAUUCUUCAACCUUUUGUUUCCAAAGACCUUGGACUGGUUUCCGCCGCUCAACUCCCUGUUUUGGUGAAGGCAAGAUCCAAAGAGGAGGAUGAGGCAGCUGAGAGGAAAACCCAAAAAAGAGACCUCCAAAGAUAAAAAGGAGAGAAAACAGGCGAUGCAAGAGGCCCGGCAACAGAUCACCACCGUGGUGCUUCCCACGCUGGCCGUGGUGGUGCUGCUGAUCGUCGUCUUCGUUUAUGUCGCGACUCGUCCCAAUACAACCGAAUGAUGCAGCUUUUCAGACUUUCUAGCUUUGGGGUAUUAAUAAUUUUAUCCCGAGCCAAAAGGAACUCUCUGCCACUCUUCCAGUGCUUCACCAAGGAACUCGCUGGUAUUUUCAGUCUGUCUCUUGGUUGGGGUCCCGCAGGUUCUCUUUGGGAAUGUAACAAAACGUAUUAGCGGCCGAGCCUGUACGUUUUAUGGUCCGGUUCAUGUGCCUUUCAGAACUUUCCAAUGGUGUUUUUUCUUAAAUCUGUUUGAAGCUCUAUAUUGUAAAAGGAAAUGGUGUCCUGCUAUAAAUUUGUUAAAAAAAAAUAAUAAAAAUAAAUCAGCUUUCA
This 980-nucleotide long non-coding RNA is filed under the name Calidris pugnax (ruff). Its description in RNAcentral is "lncRNA (ENSCPUG00000003593.1)". The record is from RNAcentral. Lineage: Eukaryota; Metazoa; Chordata; Aves; Charadriiformes; Scolopacidae.